UUGUUUUUAUUUUAUUUUUAGUCUGUGUUAGAAAGGCUGGAUCUGUCUCGUGCACAUCAAAGAAGAAAGAAGUAAAACCAGCAACCAAACCACCAGGAACAAAAGUACCACCGAAACCAUAAAUCCCACAGAAGAAACGAAGAAACCAAUUUUAGGUUGUCACCUCGAGGCGAGAGAAGUCUGGUGCACCUCAUUGAGUUAUUGUAAGAAGAUUGGCGGCAAGAUCAUGGCCGAAUUCUCUUGUCAUGUGAAAGACUUUGGGUGUUGCAACCUUAAACUUUAAACAUUAAGAAAUAAACUUUUAAUUUACCGAUUA
Long non-coding RNA from Gigantopelta aegis, 316 nucleotides. RefSeq lists it as uncharacterized. Lineage: Eukaryota; Metazoa; Mollusca; Gastropoda; Neomphalida; Peltospiridae. The transcript has 4 exons. The record is from RefSeq and is a predicted model, not a curated record.